RNAcentral lists this ribosomal RNA (253 nucleotides) under uncultured bacterium. Its description in RNAcentral is "partial 16S ribosomal RNA". It matches the Rfam family "Bacterial small subunit ribosomal RNA", at positions 524 to 776 of the family's 1533-position model. The record is from RNAcentral.
UACGAAGGGGGCUAGCGUUGCUCGGAAUCAUUGGGCGUAAAGCGCACGUAGGCGGUUUGUUAUGUCGGAUGUGAAAGCCCUUGGCUCAACUAAGGAAGUGCAUCCGAAACUGACAAGCUAGAGUACUAAAGAGGGUCGCGGAAUUCCCGGUGUAGAGGUGAAAUUCGUAGAUAUCGGGAGGAACACCGGUGGCGAAGGCGGCGACCUGGGUAGAUACUGACGCUGAGGUGCGAAAGCGUGGGGAGCAAACAGG